ACUCAAAGGAAUAGACGGGGGCUCACACAAGCGGUGGAGCAUGUGGAUCAAUUCGAAGCAACGCGAAGAACCUUACCUGGGUUUGACAUGCACGGAUGCCGUCCAUGAAAGUGGAGCCGGCUGCCUUCGGGUGAAACGUGUACAGGUGCUGCAUGGCUGUCGUCAGCUCGUGCUGUGAAGUGUCGGGUUAAGUCCCUUAACGAGCGAAACCCUUAUCUCUAGUUGCCAACGGGUCAUGCCGGGAACUCUAGUGAGACUGCCGGCGUUAAGCCGGAGGAAGGUGGGGAUGACGUCAAGUCAUCAUGGCCUUUAUGCCCAGGGUGUCACACGUGCUACAAUGGGGCGUACAGAGCGAAGCAAAGCCGCGAGGUAGAGCAAAUCGCAGAAAACGCUCCUCAGUUCGGAUUGGGGUCUGCAACCCGACCCCAUGAAGCUGGAAUCGCUAGUAAUCGCGUAUCAGCCAUGACGCGGUGAAUAUGUUCCUGAGCCUUGUACACACCGCCCGU
RNAcentral lists this ribosomal RNA (506 nucleotides) under uncultured bacterium. Its description in RNAcentral is "bacterial SSU rRNA". It matches the Rfam family "Bacterial small subunit ribosomal RNA", at positions 899 to 1397 of the family's 1533-position model. The record is from RNAcentral.